RNAcentral lists this non-coding RNA (26 nucleotides) under Homo sapiens (human). Lineage: Eukaryota; Metazoa; Chordata; Mammalia; Primates; Hominidae. The record is from RNAcentral.
UGGGAGCUGAAGAACGCAACAGAUGG